RNAcentral lists this ribosomal RNA (458 nucleotides) under uncultured bacterium. Its description in RNAcentral is "partial 16S ribosomal RNA". It matches the Rfam family "Bacterial small subunit ribosomal RNA", at positions 338 to 795 of the family's 1533-position model. The record is from RNAcentral.
CCUACGGGAGGCAGCAGUGGGGAAUAUUGCACAAUGGGGGAAACCCUGAUGCAGCGACGCCGCGUGAGUGAAGAAGUAAUUCGUUACGUAAAGCUCUAUCAGCAGGGAAGAAACACUGACCUUACGGUCAUCAGACUGUACCUGAGUAAGAAACCCCGGCUAACUCCGUGCCAGCAGACGCGGUAAUACGGAAGGUCCGGGCGUUAUCCGGAUUUAUUGGGUUUAAAGGGAGCGUAGGCGGGUCUUUAAGCGUGCCGUGAAAGUUUGUGGCUCAACCAUGAGAGUGCGGCGCGAACUGGAGACGUUGAGUGCGCGGAAGGCAGGCGGAAUUCGUGGUGUAGCGGUGAAAUGCUUAGAUAUCACGAAGAACCCCGAUUGCGAAGGCAGCCUGCCGAAGCGUUACUGACGCUGAAGCUCGAAAGCGCGGGUAUCGAACAGGAUUAGAUACCCCAGUAGUC